AAAAACCGUAGUUUUGCACUGUUUAUGUCCAAUGUUUGACCGUCCGUUUUAUUUGAAAUUUUAUUAUAAUUAAUAUUUUUUAUUGUUAUUAGAUAAUAAAACAUGAAUAGUAUUUUAUGUGUAACUGAUUUUUUAAAGUGUUUUAUAAACUUUUUAAAUAAGAUGGACGGUUAGACGUUUGAUACGGAAACCACAAUUGUAUUUAAA
This 207-nucleotide microRNA precursor is filed under the name Oryza barthii. RNAcentral describes it as "MIR812 microRNA precursor family". It matches the Rfam family "MIR812 microRNA precursor family". The record is from Rfam by way of RNAcentral. Lineage: Eukaryota; Viridiplantae; Streptophyta; Magnoliopsida; Poales; Poaceae.